CAGAGAGUGUGUGCCAGCCGCCGCGGUAAUACGGAGGAUCCGAGCGUUAUCCGGAUUUAUUGGGUUUAAAGGGAGCGUAGGUGGAUUGUUAAGUCAGUUGUGAAAGUUUGCGGCUCAACCGUAAAAUUGCAGUUGAAACUGGCAGUCUUGAGUACAGUAGAGGUGGGCGGAAUUCGUGGUGUAGCGGUGAAAUGCUUAGAUAUCACGAAGAACUCCGAUUGCGAAGGCAGCUCACUAGACUGUCACUGACACUGAUGCUCGAAAGUGUGGGUAUCAAACAGG
RNAcentral lists this ribosomal RNA (282 nucleotides) under Bacteroides ovatus. RNAcentral describes it as "partial 16S ribosomal RNA". It matches the Rfam family "Bacterial small subunit ribosomal RNA", at positions 494 to 776 of the family's 1533-position model. The record is from RNAcentral. Lineage: Bacteria; Pseudomonadati; Bacteroidota; Bacteroidia; Bacteroidales; Bacteroidaceae.